RNAcentral lists this transfer RNA (96 nucleotides) under Trichoderma asperellum. It matches the Rfam family "tRNA". Rfam says of the family: Transfer RNA (tRNA) molecules are approximately 80 nucleotides in length. Their secondary structure includes four short double-helical elements and three loops (D, anti-codon, and T loops). RNAcentral also lists the same sequence under 4 other names. Lineage: Eukaryota; Fungi; Ascomycota; Sordariomycetes; Hypocreales; Hypocreaceae. The record is from Rfam by way of RNAcentral.
GCCCGGCUAGCUCAAUCGGUAGAGCGUGAGACUCUUAUGAGUUACACAUUCUGUAUUACAAUCUCAAGGUUGCGGGUUCGACCCCCGCGUUGGGCU